UAUACUGUCCAGUCGGACGGGAACGAAAUCAGGACGGCCUAGUGACGUUAUCGAGUAGCUCGAAUGAUAUAUGUGUGUGUGUGUGUACAUACAGAUAUAUAGUCCCCAGUUAGUGGGGAUCUGGUUUUAUGCCGCUUUAAAAUUGCGAUUUAUAGCGAUUUGAUGAACUCAUCGGGUAAGGAUUCUCCUUCCUCUUCCACUCGCAAGGGGGACUGAAUGUAAUGGAGGCCAAGGACAGCACAUGACAACCUGUGUUUGGGAUGUCCAAAGUUUGUAACCCAUGACGAAAAAAACCUUUCAACCUUUGGUCCUAGUUGACAGCUGUGUAACACUUCAUUGGGUAGACGAAGUCUUCAUGUAACUGCUGCCAUACUGCAUGCAUAUGUUGACUGAUAAAGAUGAGCAAGCUGUCUGCAAAAUGAGAGAAAAUGUUGACAUGAGUAGAAAAUCUGGAGACUGUAUUUUCCUGUCUAAUGUAGACCAUUUCUAGUGUAGGUUCAUAAGGUACUAUUAGACAUGUAUCACCACUGAAGCUACUAAGGACUGUUUUGCCCUCCACAAAAUGAUGCGUUUUAGGAAUCAAAGUGCAUUACCAUGGUAUGUAACUGAAGAGGCUCACAUAAAUUGGAGUACUGUUCUAUGUUUUCAGAAUUGCCAAUUCCACGCUGGACGAGUAGGUUACGUGUUCACCUACCUAUUCAGUAGUCCUGAGUUUGAUACCCGCUCUGCCAACGUGGAAUUAGAGGAAUUUGUUUCUGGUGAUUAGAAAUUCAUUUCUUGAAAAUGUGGUUUGGAUCCCCACAAUAAGCUGUAGGUCCCAUUGCUAGGUAACCAAUUGUUCCUAGCCACGUAAAAAAUAUCUAAUUCUUUGGGGCAGCUCUAGGAGAGCUGUUGAUCAGUUCAGUGGUCUGGUUAAACAAAGAUUUACUUAACUUUCUGAAUUGCAAAAAAGAGAGAAAAAAAAAUGCUACUGUUGCCUCAAGACAAUGUCCUACCCAAAGACAUUUCAGGGGGUCAGUGGCCAGUUAGUUUUGAAUUUUUCUACAUGCCAGUUACACUUAAUCACCCUGGUGCAAGCUACCUAACUGGAGUCAAUGUCCAAAAUUGACCAUUGUUUUGGAGUAUUUGAUGGUCCAGGCUACAACAUUCACUUCUCCCCUUUUUUUUUUUGUUUUUUAUAUAAUUGGUAUUAUGUCUAAAGCUCUGCUUUUGGAUUCUAAUUUUUGUAUUUUGUAGCCAUGAUGGGUUCUAGGAAUAAAUAAUUUGGUAUUUGAUCAUUCCAUUCCAAAGGGAAAACACUUUUUAUCCAGAUUUUAUAUAUGGAUAUGAAUUCUUAGUAUAUCUGGAUUUGUAAUGAUGCUUCCACUAGGAGAAUGUCUUUUGUAUGGAAGAUGGUAGUUUGUAUUCUCAGAAAUAAAUAAGUACCAGAUUUUAAA
This is a long non-coding RNA of Macrobrachium nipponense, 1436 nucleotides long. RefSeq lists it as uncharacterized. NCBI's taxonomy places the organism in Eukaryota, Metazoa, Arthropoda, Malacostraca, Decapoda, Palaemonidae. The transcript is spliced from 2 exons. The record is from RefSeq and is a predicted model, not a curated record.